UACGGGGGGGGCAAGCGUUGUUCGGAAUUACUGGGCGUAAAGGGCUCGUAGGCGGCCAACUAAGUCAGACGUGAAAUCCCUCGGCUUAACCGGGGAACUGCGUCUGAUACUGGAUGGCUUGAGUUUGGGAGAGGGAUGCGGAAUUCCAGGUGUAGCGGUGAAAUGCGUAGAUAUCUGGAGGAAUACCGGUGGCGAAGGCGGCAUCCUGGACCGGCAUUGACGCUGAUGAGCGAAGGCUAGGGGAGCAAACGGG
This 253-nucleotide ribosomal RNA is filed under the name uncultured bacterium. RNAcentral describes it as "partial 16S ribosomal RNA". It matches the Rfam family "Bacterial small subunit ribosomal RNA", at positions 524 to 776 of the family's 1533-position model. The record is from RNAcentral.